AUUAACAUAAUCGUUCCUUGCGAUUGUAGCCACAGGCCUUGUGGAAUUGGAUCCCACGGAUGCAGAGGAAUUGGCGAUGUUCCUGGAUAAGAAUGAGCCGCAGGCCCAGUGGGAUGUAAUUCAGAUGAUACAGAAUAAUCGGCUGAUUCUCCGAAUGAAAGAUCCCUAGUAAUGUUACAAUGCUUUACAAGUCCACAAAUAAUAUGCACUCACUAACCGGCUCUGACAGUAGGCAGAUGGGUCAGGAUGCAGGAAUGUCCGGUAGAAGUAUGGCUUAAGACUGACACUUCUGGAUUCUGCAAUCUCUCUGGCAGCUUCAUAUAAGCCAUCUUGGAGCCCUGCACACAAUGAAAAUGAGAUGUCAACCUGGGGGGUGUUUUCCAGGAAGUCUUCUCUUCUCAUGAGGUGACCAAAGUAUU
This is a long non-coding RNA of Podarcis muralis (Common wall lizard), 419 nucleotides long. RefSeq lists it as uncharacterized. Lineage: Eukaryota; Metazoa; Chordata; Lepidosauria; Squamata; Lacertidae. The record is from RefSeq and is a predicted model, not a curated record.